Molecule: ribosomal RNA, 253 nt
Filed under: uncultured bacterium
Lineage: Bacteria
Description: partial 16S ribosomal RNA
Rfam family: Bacterial small subunit ribosomal RNA
Source: RNAcentral
UACGUAGGGGGCUAGCGUUGUCCGGAUUUAUUGGGCGUAAAGAGCGUGUAGGCGGCCAGGUAGGUCUGCUGUGAAAACUCGAGGCUCAACCUCGAGAUGUCGGCGGAAACCAUCUGGCUAGAGUCCGGAAGAGGAGAGUGGAAUUCCUGGUGUAGCGGUGAAAUGCGCAGAUAUCGGGAAGAACACCCGUGGCGAAGGCGGCUCUCUGGGACGGUACUGACGCUGAGACGCGAAAGCGUGGGGAGCGAACAGG